CUAUAUUGGUUUCUUCCACUACUGGCACUCACUGGAUGUUCUGUAGAAUACUAGUCUUCAAUUUUCAGGAUUGCCAGCCAGUUGUUAACUCUGUUAGCUAAAAAAUUUUGGGACUGAAACCUAAUAAUCUGUAUUGCACCAAGCUGGGAAAAAAACUGCUCUGUAAUAUGACCAAUCGAAGAAGUAAUAUGGGCCAACAUCUUAGUACUGUAGGUGCUUUUUGAGUGUGGACAAGCUCCUCUUGCUAAAUUUAUUCCAUAAGUCCUUUAAAACAUUUUUGAAUAGGAUUCUUCUGCUUUAUGAUAAGCCAAUAUCAACUGGUUUUUCUUGUCACCAUAAAUGUAGCAUACUGUGACAUUUUACAGAUCCUUUAAACUGCCUUUCAGUGAUAAAAGUGCUGCGAAGCCUACAGUAGAGAUCUGUGGCUUUUCUAGCUGGAGGCCAAGCAAACAAUUCCAUCCACUCUGCCCGUCAGACUGAAUUUAUAAGACCUGCAUCUGUGCCUGCAGUUCUGUUUCAUAAGCACAACCAGAGGAGGUACAAGGAGAAAGGCAACAUUCCUGCUAAGGCACUGGUGGUUUUUGAAUAUUGAAUAAAAUUCAUAUUCAAUCUG
Long non-coding RNA from Pantherophis guttatus, 613 nucleotides. RefSeq lists it as uncharacterized. Lineage: Eukaryota; Metazoa; Chordata; Lepidosauria; Squamata; Colubridae. The record is from RefSeq and is a predicted model, not a curated record.